CCUCCUUUCCUUGGCCGGGGCCGGACGUGCAGUCCUGGUCCCCCGUACGUAUGGGGGCAGAGGGAGCGGACACCGGUCGGUCCCCCUCCGUGUCAUGUCUUUGGCGCCGGCAGCUACCCGUCCCCUGGUUCUAUCCUCAAACGCUGGGACAAGG
Small nucleolar RNA from Echinops telfairi (small Madagascar hedgehog), 154 nucleotides. The record is from Ensembl. Lineage: Eukaryota; Metazoa; Chordata; Mammalia; Afrosoricida; Tenrecidae.